GCGCGAGUGGCGGAAUGGUAGACGCGCUGGCUUCAGGUGCCAGUGCCCUUUACGGGCGUGGAGGUUCAACUCCUCUCUCGCGCACAA
This 87-nucleotide transfer RNA is filed under the name Propionimicrobium lymphophilum ACS-093-V-SCH5. Its description in RNAcentral is "tRNA-Leu". It matches the Rfam family "tRNA". From Rfam's summary of the family: Transfer RNA (tRNA) molecules are approximately 80 nucleotides in length. Their secondary structure includes four short double-helical elements and three loops (D, anti-codon, and T loops). Further hydrogen bonds mediate the characteristic L-shaped molecular structure. tRNAs have two regions of fundamental functional importance: the anti-codon, which is responsible for specific mRNA codon recognition, and the 3' end, to which the tRNAs corresponding amino acid is attached (by aminoacyl-tRNA synthetases). tRNAs cope with the degeneracy of the genetic code in two manners: having more than one tRNA (with a specific anti-codon) for a particular amino acid; and 'wobble' base-pairing, i.e. permitting non-standard base-pairing at the 3rd anti-codon position. The record is from RNAcentral. Lineage: Bacteria; Bacillati; Actinomycetota; Actinomycetes; Propionibacteriales; Propionibacteriaceae. RNAcentral also lists the same sequence under 1 other name.